GCUUAUUUAGUUUAAUUUUGAAUAAUAUUUUGAAAAGAUAUAGGUUUUUUAGGCG
RNAcentral lists this transfer RNA (55 nucleotides) under Loa loa (African eye worm). Its description in RNAcentral is "tRNA-Phe". Lineage: Eukaryota; Metazoa; Nematoda; Chromadorea; Rhabditida; Onchocercidae. The record is from RNAcentral.